UACGUAGGGUGCAAGCGUUGUCCGGAGUUACUGGGCGUAAAGCGUGCGUAGGCGGUCUUGUAAGUCUGGUGUGAAAUCUCCCGGCUCAACUGGGAGGGUGCGCCGGAAACUGCAAGGCUGGAGUAUGGGAGAGGUAGGCGGAAUUCCUGGUGUAGCGGUGAAAUGCGUAGAUAUCAGGAGGAACACCUGUGGUGUAGACGGCUUACUGGACCAUGACUGACGCUGAGGCACGAAAGCGUGGGGAGCAAACAGG
RNAcentral lists this ribosomal RNA (253 nucleotides) under uncultured bacterium. Its description in RNAcentral is "partial 16S ribosomal RNA". It matches the Rfam family "Bacterial small subunit ribosomal RNA", at positions 524 to 776 of the family's 1533-position model. The record is from RNAcentral.